CAGUGGCGAACGGGUGCGUAACACGUGGGAAUCUGCCUUUUAGUGAAGGAUACCUCCGAGAAAUCGGGGCUAAUACUGCAUAUUUCCCUUCGGGGAUAAAGACGGCCUCUUGCUGUCGCUAAAAGAUGAGCCCGCGGGCUAUUAGCUUGUUGGUAAGGUAAAAGCUUACCAAGGCGAUGAUGGCUAGCCGACCUGAGAGGGUGGUCGGCCACACUGGGACUGAGAUACGGCCCAGACUCCUACGGGAGGCAGCGGUAGGGAAUAUUGCACAAUGGGCGAAAGCCUGAUGCAGCGACGCCGCGUGGAGGAUGAAGGUCUUCGGAUUGUAAACUUCUGUUAAGUGGGAAGAAAUGUUUGUGGUUAAUACCCGCAGAAGAUGACGGUACCACUAGAGAAAGCUCCGGCUAACUUCGUGCCAGCAGCCGCGGUAAUACGAAGGGAGCUAGCGUUAUUCGGAAUUACUGGGCGUAAAGAGCGUGUGGGCGGUUGAUUAAGUCAGUUGUUAAAUUCCUCGGCUUAACUGAGGGUCGGCAGUUGAUACUGGUCAGCUAGAGGGCAAGAGAGAGAAGUAGAAUUCUCGGAGUAGCGGUAAAAUGCAUAGAUCUCGAGAGGAAUACCGGUUGCGAAGGCGGCUUCUUGGCUUGUCCCUGACGCUAAAGCGCGAAAGCGUGGGGGAGCAAACAGGAUUAGAUACCCUGGUAGUCCACGCCGUAAACGAUGAUCACUAGAUGUAG
RNAcentral lists this ribosomal RNA (734 nucleotides) under uncultured bacterium. RNAcentral describes it as "bacterial SSU rRNA". It matches the Rfam family "Bacterial small subunit ribosomal RNA", at positions 93 to 825 of the family's 1533-position model. The record is from RNAcentral.